GGUGCUUCUCCUGGCGCGACACGCUCUGGAAGAUGACGACACUGUGGACAAAACUUCGGCUUAGAAGCUGUUUGGACUUUUUCAAACAGAGCAGCCACCACCGUUCGGGCAUCGAGGGAGUUGUGGGGACCUUUGGAUCUGGAGCUGCUCUUUCAAAUUCUGGGGAACUGGCGAGAUCGGUUGACCACGCAGUGGUCCCGGUGAAGCGUCUAGAGGUGGAGCUGCUCCAAGGACUGCCGGUGGACUUCACCUUAAGCGAAAGCCUACCCGAUGCCUACCUAACGC
Molecule: long non-coding RNA, 285 nt
Organism: Physeter macrocephalus (sperm whale)
Lineage: Eukaryota; Metazoa; Chordata; Mammalia; Artiodactyla; Physeteridae
Exons: 3
Source: RefSeq, a predicted model, not a curated record